This 2386-nucleotide unclassified non-coding RNA is filed under the name Hevea brasiliensis (rubber tree). Lineage: Eukaryota; Viridiplantae; Streptophyta; Magnoliopsida; Malpighiales; Euphorbiaceae. The record is from RNAcentral.
AAAGUGAUCACCAUCGGGCUGAAAGUGAAAGCCCGAAUUAUAAAUAGUAUCAUAAAGAUUAUUACACACAUUAAUAAGUUGCAGAAAAUGUCAAUACAAUCUUACAAAAUGUGAAUAACAAUGUGAUGGUCAACUGAAAUUCUUUUAUAGGUAAAUACAAAUUCAAGAGACUGUAAUACGGACUUGAAAAGAGAAAAAUGUCCUAGAAAGUCCUCGAGUAUUUUCUGAUCUCAUACAUUAUCGAUGAAACUGAAACAAGAUCCUUGUUCAAGGUAGAACCACCAUUUAUCCUCUUUAUACAAUCUGAAAGCCUUGUAUAAUAGAGAAGAAGUUGAGUUAAUGCAGCUCUUAGAAUGUCCAUACCACACAGGAAAUUGCUGAAAGAAGUAAUCACAUCAUUGUGCAUAAGCUCAAUGGCAGCUUUCCAUCUGCUUGCAAAGUCCUUUACAAUCGGCUCAACUUCAGCAAUAGUUAUAGGUCUUUCAGUGCCAGUACUUGGAUCCUCAGACCCUCUCGUCUUUACAAAUUUGAUGAGAUCGUUAAAAUGCUCCAACAGCAAUUCUUCCACGAAUAUGGCUGUGUUAUUCUUUAGAAGCUCCUCAAAGUGCUGCUGGAUUUUCCCGCCAUCUGGACCAGCUUCCUUCAGAACCGAUAUUAUCAUGUCAUAGUUGUUUAUAAGGAAUACUGUUUGCAACUUUUGUUUAGCAAACAUUUGUGAUAGCUUGACAAGCAAGUCAUCAACAGCCAUUCUGAGUCUCUCCAGAUUCAGUUCAAGCUGGCCAUCUUUGUAUUCUACAUUAAGGUGAAUAAGGGACGCAGAAAACUCAGCAUAGCGCCUUAUGACAUAAUGUGGGUGAACAUCAUCUUCCCAGAGAGUCCUGAUAUUGGCAUUUCGCAGGCUGUGGAGGUGCAAGUCAAAGACCAUCUUGAAACGUGGCCAUAAAGCAAUAUUGACCUUGUCUAAGUAUGAAUCCAGGCAUGGAAUUCGGCGCCUGGACAUUACAAGCUGGUGCUGGUGUAUGAUGCGAAUCAUGAGCAUUAAGCCAAUUGCAUCAAAACUAUUAGGAAGAAUUGUGCUGAAAUGCUCAUCAAUUACUGAAAACGGGCCAGCAAAAAUAUCAUGAAACAUGGUCUGUUCUCCAAAGAAAUCAUCACAGAAAAGGUACUCAGAAGAAGCAGUAUCCAUGAGCAGCUUGUGCAAACUCCUGAAAAGGACCUCAUACGGAUAUUUUUUUGAGCUGGCUUCAGCAAUAUGUGGAAUUAAUGGAGGUUCCUCAAUCUCCUUGAGAAUGUUUAUCCUUUCUCCAAGAGCAAAAACUGCAGACCUGUUCUUCAAUGGUUCUCUUCCUCUCGAAAAAAGACCUGUGCUUCUGGUCUCAACACCUAUCAGAUCAUUAGAUGUUGCUAUAUCCAACUGAAGCUUUUCUAAAGCUUGAAUAUAAGCGCGGAACUGUGCACUCAGAACCUUGUUCAUUGUGUCAAUAUAUGCAGCUCGAACCUCAAGAUACACUUCCUUCCCAUGCUCCUUGAGAAAGGAAAGGAUAUACUUAUAUUUUAGGAGGACACUCUGCUGAAGGAUCUGGAUAUUAGUUUUGGGCUUCCUUAAAGCGUAUAGCUUCUGAACCAUGAAAUCAAACACCUUGGAGACAGCUUUCUGCCGAAGUUUUUCUAGCUCAGGCUGCACAUCUUUCAGGGCUUUUGAUGUUUUAACUGUGGGAUCUGCAUCUGCACACUUCAGUUUUUUACUCAAAAUUUCAAGGGUCCUCAUGUAUUCCUCAUUAACCUCUUCAUCAACAAUUAUGUCAAUCAUCCUUGGAGGAACAAUAAUAUCUUCAACAAACUUUGCCAACUUUGACUCUGCUACCUUGCGAUUCUUCAGCCUCACUCCCAUAUCCAUAGACUUCUCUUGGAGAAUUUUGAUAUCUGAACUUAUAGAACCUAUCUCUGCCUGAAAUCCACUGAGAAGAGUUUCCAUCUGUGAUAGAAUCAUGUCGCAAUCACGAAUUUGAUCAUGAAGUGAGACGAGAUUAUCACUUUCCUUUAUGUAAUCCUGGAUAGAAUCCAAUUCGACUUGACGUAAAUUAUUUUCAACGCCUUUAGUGUAUUCCCGCAACGUUGUACCUUUAGAAAGUAUGUUUGCGACAACAUCAUCAGCUUGACAUUCCUGUAACUCUUCCUCGAGUCCCUCAAGGGAUAUAUCAUCACUGGCAGUUUCAUCAUCAACAUUCAAAUCGCCAACGAAGGAUCCCAAAUCCAAGGAGGUUUUCGACGUGUUGCCAGCCACAUCCACCAUAGCAACUAGAGCAAACCAACAACUUUCUACUGAUCUACACCGUACAGCUAUCUGAUAGCCGUGAAGAGCCAAGAAGAGAUCUGAAAUUUCGAG